ACUAUGCUUAGCCCUAAACAUCGAUAGCGCACUACACCUGCUAUCCGCCUGGGAACUACGAGCAUCAGCUUGAAACCCAAAGGACUUGGCGGUGCUUUAGAUCCAUC
This 107-nucleotide ribosomal RNA is filed under the name Ammodytes marinus (lesser sand-eel). RNAcentral describes it as "partial 12S ribosomal RNA". The record is from RNAcentral. Lineage: Eukaryota; Metazoa; Chordata; Actinopteri; Uranoscopiformes; Ammodytidae.